AAACUUUCUGCAGGGCCACACAGCACGGGCAGGCAGGCUGACACUCUUCUUGGGAGACAGCUGCACUAGCUGUGGGGUUCUCUCUCCUCUCUCUCCUUUUCACCUCCGGUGCAAACAGGCUCCCAGCUCUCCCCUCUGGCAUCUGCCUUUUGGGGUGUUGCAGUGCGGGGCGGCAGGCACUCAGAGCAGGUAUCCGGGCAGUGACGCCAUCUGUAGCAGCUCUGGAUCCCCUCCAAGGCAGGCAAAGGCCUGGAAAAUUGGGAUCUGGAGGCGGCUGCCCGAAGGAGGGGGAGGGAGCCCUUGCGCUCAGAGGAGGCUUUGGCUCUGCUCGGAGGGGUGGGCACUUCUAGAGAGCACUGUCUCUCCUGUGUGAGAACGGGCCUUUGCACAAGAGGCAGACAGAUCCUUAAGCUCUGUUAGAGUCCUUGGCUGGACCUUCCUAAGAGUCUCCGCCCUACUCCAGCCUUGACACCUGUAUUCCUCCACUAACCAUCUGAAUAGAAAUUUGGGGGUUUUGUUGUCAACUUAAGCUUCUAAACUAAGCCUUUGCCAAGUCAUUUCCUGGCUCCCACACCCUCAAUGACUCCUCAUGACUUAAAAGAAUAAGGGGCAAAUUUAAGCCCAGUCUUUCUUGUGAUUGGUGCUCCCCUGGUUCUCUGGCACUCCUCCACCAUUCCACGUAGCAUUCAUAAUUCAGCACGGGUGUACUGAGCACCCGUGACAGCCCCGUGUGCAUUCUCUUUAAGCCUUUUUCCUGUAGGCCCGACCCCCGCCUUACAUGCUCUCCCAUCUCAAUUCUAUCUAAGCAUCUCUGGCUCUUAGGAAGCUCCCUUAGUGUGCCCGGGAUAGCACAGUCUCUUGUUCUCUCCGGGGCGUUUGAGUGGGAAUGGCUCUCCAACCAGACCCUGUGCUGUGGACGAGUCACCUCUGAUGCCAGUGCCAUAGGACAUGACCCAGACACAACCAUCACCCGACAUUCCUGAACACAAACUCAGCAUCAGUGUCAGAGGCUCUGAAGUGCAGUCCUGCCCUACCCGUGCUUGCUCUGUGACCUUGGGGAGGACACUUACCCUUCCGGAGGUUAGCUUCCUCAUCUGUAAACAGGAACAAGUGCUCGGCAGCAGCUUCGAGGUGGGAGGACUGCGGGUAGAGCUUGAGCUUUGACUCAGCAACUGGCCCAAGACCCCUUCUCACCCUAACCCUCUACCAUACCUCCCCAGCCCCUCACCCUGUCUUCAAAGGGAAGACUCCUGUUGAAGACCCUCCAGGAAAUGCCAUCCCUCUUCCACCAUCGACUCCAAGCACUAUAGUCCUGCCGUUUUGCCACAAGGCUAAACUGACUCUCCACCCAGAUGGACCAAAUUCUGGGUUAGCCCCUGGGCACCUCACCAGGCAGCUAAAGGCCUUGGGGCAAUUCCAAGGUCUGGACUACUGGGAAAUGGGGCUGUGGUCCAACCUCUCACUCUCACAGGAAGGGCCCUCCUGCGCCCCAGAUCUCUUGCUCCCCACAGCGAUCUCUGGAAGGCACACAGAUGAGGCCACGAGAGUCUGAUGCCACACCUGCUCAGUAAAUCUGCACCGCCGCCCUCCAGCCCGACACCCCCC
Molecule: long non-coding RNA, 1605 nt
Organism: Mastomys coucha (southern multimammate mouse)
Lineage: Eukaryota; Metazoa; Chordata; Mammalia; Rodentia; Muridae
Exons: 3
Source: RefSeq, a predicted model, not a curated record